Hibiscus syriacus is the source of this 478-nucleotide long non-coding RNA. RefSeq lists it as uncharacterized. The record is from RefSeq and is a predicted model, not a curated record. The transcript is spliced from 2 exons. NCBI's taxonomy places the organism in Eukaryota, Viridiplantae, Streptophyta, Magnoliopsida, Malvales, Malvaceae.
CUCACCAUUUCUCUUCUUUUUUUCUCCAAACUCAUCCUUCUCAAAUUCUUAAACUUUUCUCAUUUUCUCUUCACAGCAGUUAGUAUUACCUUGAGUUCUUUCUUGUCCAAGUUCAUUUCCACCAACAAUCAAGUAAAAAAGGUGGUACGAGAAACCCUAAACACGAAAGAAGAAAAAAAGAAAUUCAACAGAGGAAGGAGGAUAAAAGGCCUUAAAAAAGGAGGAAGCUAUGACCGAAAAUUACUGGUGUUACCAAUGCUCUCAAGUGGUGACUCCCAUCGUGGCAAUCGAGAUUAAAUGCCCAUUUUGUCAAGGUGGGUUUAUCGAACAAAUGAGCGGUUAUACAACAAGGGACGAUGAAGACAUGGAUUCAGAUAUGGGAUCCGAUCGAGCACGCUCCUUGUGGGCGCCUAUCUUGUUAGGUAUGAUUGGUAAUCCCUGACGUCGUAUAAGAUUCGACCAUAUCGACUUUGAAAAA